UUAAUGAUGUAUGUGAUGUAGUUUUGGAACAGAGUCUCAAUGGUACCCUAUUUAAACAAUGACAAAUUGACAAUGCUGUUGUACAAGUGCAUUCACAUGACCUCAACAUAUCAAACAGUGUUCCUCUUAGUUUUCUCCUCAAUCUUUAUCUUUUCAUUAAUUUACUCUCCCAUUCCCUUCCUUUAGGUUGUCCAACUGCAUCUGCCGCUGCUCCAUCAAAGCGGUAAUACUAACUGGCUCUGGAAAUCGGCGGAGGAAAAAAGACAGAAGCUUGCCGAAACAAUAUGACAACAAGAUUGUUGAUGAAUUUUUAGAGUGACAACAAGAUUUUUACUUUCCAGCAAGAGUUGCUUUAUUCUUUUAUCACUACUACUCAAUUGUGGCUUACGGUUGCUGUUGGAGUGUUUGAAGCACGUCGCAUAUCAGAGGCAAUUUGAACUCGGGUCUUUCUCCUAGCGACAAAGGCGUCUUUAUGGAUGACGUUACUAAAAGUGAACUUUGGUGGGGGAAAUUACGUACUAUAUAUCCCAGGUUCCAGUUGCACAAACUCACGAUCCCAAGGGUAAGCCUGAUUGCUAUGGUGUCUUCUGCCUUACCUAUGAUUUCAAGGCUAUGAGUAUUCUUCUUCACUACCUUUAUCUAUUUAUUACAUGUAUAUAUGGUGUUUGUCAAUAAGUGCAUGCUGAUGCAUAAUUUCCUUUAUGUAAUGUGUAUAGGCAAAGUUUAUCCACAGUUUAAUUGUAAAAAUCUUUUGGAUCCUGUGUGGUAGCCCAUAUUUGGUGAAGCACACACGAUCUAUUGUCUUUAAUGGCCAUGCAAUUUAUCUCCACAGAGUUGAUUUCUUAUCUCAGCUUGCAUUCGGUAAUGGCAAAUUUUUGAAGAACUACAAGUAAGCGUUCAAUCUUAAUUUUCGUUUCUAUCGUUGUGGGGGUAUGCCAUGACAGAUCCUUGCCAUCAAUCUUCUAUUCUGAUACUGUCAGGAUUACAAACCUAUCCUAUAAUAAAUGUAUUUAAGUCGUCAUGAUUUCCUCAUCACAAAACUCACAUUGUAGAAUCUAUUUGGAUCAACAUCUGUGUAUGCCUACAUUGAAGGCAUUUUCAGUUCUGUUGUUGGAACUACAACAUCUGUGUAUGCUUACAUUUUAGGUACAAUAUUCGACUUUAUUUCUUGCAUGGAGAAAUACCUUGAACUUUUAUGCUUCUUAUCUAAUAAAUUUUUUUUGGCAUCUCACUUUCACGCAAAUUCGGUGCCUUUUUUGCAUCGAUCCCCUACCGAUAAUUGGUGCUAUAUACUGUGUUUUAUUUGGCAUUGUUGGUAAGUGUAGGCCAAACACAUAUAAUUUUUAGUUUUAAUAUUUAUGUCGAGAGAGAGUACUUGCAUAUAUGAAAAUAUAAUCCAAUGAUUUUAUCUUUAUAGGUUACUAACAGGAUCAAUCAUGGCUCAUGAAAUGAUGCAUAACCUGGUUUUAUGUUUGGUCUGUAGGUAUCCUAUAUGCAGAAUCCCAAUGGUCAAACAUUAAGAUAGUAGGAUUGGUUAUGUAACUUUGAUGGGGUGACUGAUAAUUGUAACUUGCUGGGCUGGUCUUGAUUUUAUUGUAUUGAGUUGGUUCUGCAUUAGUUUGGACACAUGUGCACACUAUUGUAUCUAAUGUUGGAGUUGAAGGUGUUGUUGUUGCUGGAAAACUUUAGGAACAGAAUAAUUCUAAUCUUGGUUAUGAUGCCAACAAAGCUUUGUAAUUAGGUGAAUAUGUAGAUAUGGUUAAGUCUAAAAUUAUUGAUCCAUUGAAGGUGGUUAGGACCUUCUUGGUUGACAUAACCAGUGUAUCGUCUUUGAUGAUAACAACCGAAGUUAUUGUUUCUGAACUCCCAAAAGAAGAUAAAGACAGUCCUACAAUGCCUGACAACAUGGGUGGUAUGGAUUAUUAGCUGCUAUGAAGACUUGAAUUAAAGUGGUGUUUCGCCACUAUUAUAGCCUCUCUUUUUAUAUUUGACAUAAGGCAUUCAUGUAAUCAUAAUGAGAGAUGAAAGUUGUAGGUGGGAAGAUUUGUGAUUGUUAUUGUAUAUGAUAUGAUUGAGAUAUUCAGAAUAAUUUGCAUUCCAAAAUAGUUAGGAAUUAUUCCCUUCAUAAG
Molecule: long non-coding RNA, 2129 nt
Organism: Vicia villosa (hairy vetch)
Lineage: Eukaryota; Viridiplantae; Streptophyta; Magnoliopsida; Fabales; Fabaceae
Exons: 7
Source: RefSeq, a predicted model, not a curated record